Molecule: ribosomal RNA, 305 nt
Filed under: uncultured bacterium
Lineage: Bacteria
Description: bacterial SSU rRNA
Rfam family: Bacterial small subunit ribosomal RNA
Source: RNAcentral
ACACCUCGGGACGCAGCAGUGAGGAAUAUUGGUCAAUGGGCGGGAGCCUGAACCAGCCAAGUCGCGUGAAGGAAGAAGGUACUUAGUAUUGUAAACUUCUUUUGUCGGGGAACAAAGGCGGAGACGCGUCUCCGGAUGAGUGUACCCGAAGAAAAAGCAUCGGCUAACUCCGUGCCAGCAGCCGCGGUAAUACGGAGGAUGCGAGCGUUAUCCGGAUUUAUUGGGUUUAAAGGGUGCGCAGGCGGGAGAUCAAGUCAGCGGUAAAAUGCCGGGGCUCAACCCCGGCCGGGCGUUGAAACUGGGUU